UUAAGUUCAGCGGGUAGUCCUACCUGAUUUGAGGUCGAAUUUGUCAGACACGGAACCCCGAAGGGCCGAUACGAUCGUAGAUUUCCCCUUACACGGCUUUUCUCAGACGACGCAGAUAACUAUCACAUCGACGAUACUUUGCCAAGGACCGGAAAGCUCAUGCAUUCGAGAGGAGCCGACAAGCGUGCACGGAGCACGCA
RNAcentral lists this unclassified non-coding RNA (200 nucleotides) under Tomentellopsis sp. RNAcentral describes it as "partial internal transcribed spacer 2". Lineage: Eukaryota; Fungi; Basidiomycota; Agaricomycetes; Thelephorales; Thelephoraceae. The record is from RNAcentral.